Molecule: ribosomal RNA, 250 nt
Filed under: uncultured prokaryote
Description: partial 16S ribosomal RNA
Rfam family: Bacterial small subunit ribosomal RNA
Source: RNAcentral
UACGUAGGCGGCAAGCGUUGUCCGGAUUUACUGGGUGUAAAGGGCGCGUAGGCGGGAUGGCAAGUCAGAUGUGAAAUCUCUGGGCUCAACCCGGAGACUGCAUUUGAAACUGUCGUUCUUGAGUAUUUGAGAGGCAAGCGGAAUUCCUAGUGUAGCGGUGAAAUGUGUAGAUAUUAGGAGGAACACCAGUGGCGAAGGCGGCUUGCUGGACGACAACUGACGCUGAGGCGCGAAAGCGUGGGGAGCAAAC